RNAcentral lists this small nuclear RNA (85 nucleotides) under Fukomys damarensis (Damara mole-rat). RNAcentral describes it as "U4 spliceosomal RNA (ENSFDAG00000001934.1)". Lineage: Eukaryota; Metazoa; Chordata; Mammalia; Rodentia; Bathyergidae. The record is from RNAcentral.
AGCUUUGCACAGUGGCAGUAUCAUAGCCAAUGAGGUUUAUACAAGGCUCAAUUAUUGCUAACUGAAUAUUGUAAUCUGUAAUUCC